CUUAUGUUCGCACGUAUCAGUUUUCUUUUAGUGUUUCUAUUUUUUUAAUUUUGUGUGCAAUGUCUUUGUCUUGUCAUUAUUUCCUGAUUCUUUUUGAAGUUAUUUGUGUUCUGCAAAAGUUAGAUUAAAUUUAUGGAAGAAUUUAUAAUGUUUUGUAAGUCUAAAGUAUGCUUUAAUAUUCUAAAUUUCAGUUUAUUACUUUUUGUGUUUUUAAAUUCAUGUCCUGUCCAUGCCAUACCCC
RNAcentral lists this long non-coding RNA (241 nucleotides) under Setaria viridis. Its description in RNAcentral is "long non-coding RNA (SVIR_LNC008260)". Lineage: Eukaryota; Viridiplantae; Streptophyta; Magnoliopsida; Poales; Poaceae. The record is from RNAcentral.